This 253-nucleotide ribosomal RNA is filed under the name uncultured bacterium. Its description in RNAcentral is "partial 16S ribosomal RNA". It matches the Rfam family "Bacterial small subunit ribosomal RNA", at positions 524 to 776 of the family's 1533-position model. The record is from RNAcentral.
UACAGAGGGGGCAAGCGUUGUUCGGAAUUACUGGGCGUAAAGGGCGCGUAGGCGGCCUUCUAAGUUGAACGUGAAAUCCCCGGGCUCAACCCGGGAACUGCGUCCGAUACUGGAAGGCUUGAAUCCGGGAGAGGGAUGCGGAAUUCCAGGUGUAGCGGUGAAAUGCGUAGAUAUCUGGAGGAACACCGGUGGCGAAGGCGGCAUCCUGGACCGGCAUUGACGCUGAGGCGCGAAAGCCAGGGGAGCAAACGGG